AGCAGCAGCCGCGGUAAUACGAAGGGGGCUAGCGUUGUUCGGAUUUACUGGGCGUAAAGCGCACGUAGGCGGAUUCUUAAGUCAGGGGUGAAAUCCCGAGGCUCAACCUCGGAACUGCCUUUGAUACUGGGGAUCUUGAGUUCGGGAGAGGUGAGUGGAAUUCCGAGUGUAGAGGUGAAAUUCGUAGAUAUUCGGAAGAACACCAGUGGCGAAGGCGGCUUACUGGCUCAUUCUAGACGCUGAGGUGCGAAAGCGUGGGGAGCAAACAGGAUUAGAUACCCCUGUAGUCCCUGUCUCUUAUAU
Molecule: ribosomal RNA, 303 nt
Filed under: uncultured bacterium
Lineage: Bacteria
Description: partial 16S ribosomal RNA
Rfam family: Bacterial small subunit ribosomal RNA
Source: RNAcentral